RNAcentral lists this ribosomal RNA (305 nucleotides) under uncultured bacterium. RNAcentral describes it as "bacterial SSU rRNA". It matches the Rfam family "Bacterial small subunit ribosomal RNA", at positions 337 to 640 of the family's 1533-position model. The record is from RNAcentral.
UCCUACGGGAGGCAGCAGUGGGGGAUAUUGGACAAUGGGGGGAACCCUGAUCCAGCCAAGCCGCGUGAGGGAAGACGGCCCUAUGGGUUGUAAACCUCUUUUGUCGGAGAACAAAACCCGGGACGAGUCCCGGACUGCGUGUAUCCGAAGAAAAAGCAUCGGCUAACUCCGUGCCAGCAGCCGCGGUAAUACGGAGGAUGCGAGCGUUAUCCGGAUUUAUUGGGUUUAAAGGGUGCGUAGGCGGUCUGUUAAGUCAGCGGUAAAAUUGCGGGGCUCAACCCCGUCGAGCCGUUGAAACUGGCAGA